RNAcentral lists this unclassified non-coding RNA (304 nucleotides) under Hevea brasiliensis (rubber tree). Lineage: Eukaryota; Viridiplantae; Streptophyta; Magnoliopsida; Malpighiales; Euphorbiaceae. The record is from RNAcentral.
GAAAAAGUCACCAUGCCUGUUCUCAUCCUGGCACCAGUUCUCGAAGUACUUGAAGAUAGGAUAGACUUGAUACUCAGGAUUGGCCUUCAAAUGCCGAUAAAUCGUGAUGUACCUCCAGUAUCCAAUCUUUUCGGACAGGUAGGUAGCAUAGAAGAUGAACUUCGGCUUGAAGAAUGUGUACUUACGGGCCUUGGUUAGGAAACCCAGAUCCAAUGCUAGAUUGAAAUCAGAGAGACCCUUGUUCAGAAACCCGGCAUGCCUGGCUUCAUCCCUUGACAUAAGCGAGAAGAUCUCAGCCACCACU